Molecule: ribosomal RNA, 448 nt
Filed under: uncultured bacterium
Lineage: Bacteria
Description: SSU rRNA
Rfam family: Bacterial small subunit ribosomal RNA
Source: RNAcentral
AGAGCGAACGCUGGCGGCAGGCCUAACACAUGCAAGUCGAGCGCCCGUAGCAAUACGGGAGCGGCAGACGGGAUAGUAACACGUGGGAACGCGCCCUUCGGUUCGGAAUAACUCAGGGAAACUUGAGCUAAUACCGAAUACGCCCUUACGGGGAAAGAUUUAUUGCCGAAGGAACGGCCCGCGUCCGAUUAGCUAGUUGGUGAGGUAAUGGCUCACCAAGGCUACGAUCGGUAGCUGGUCUGAGAGGAUGACCAGCAUCACUGGGACUGAGACACGGCCCAGACUCCUACGGGAGGCAGCAGUGGGGAAUAUUGGACAAUGGGCGCAAGCCUGAUCCAGCCAUGCCGCGUGGAUGAUGAAGGCCUUAGGGUUGUAAAGUCCGUUUUAACGGGGAAGAUAAUGACGGUACCCGUAGAAUAAGCCCGGCUAACUUCGCGCCAGCAGCCGC